GAGGGCAUAGCUCAGAGGUAGGGUGCGUGCUUAGCAUGCGUGAGGUCCUGGGCUCAACCCCCAGUAUCUCCA
This 72-nucleotide transfer RNA is filed under the name Camelus bactrianus (Bactrian camel). It matches the Rfam family "tRNA". From Rfam's summary of the family: Transfer RNA (tRNA) molecules are approximately 80 nucleotides in length. Their secondary structure includes four short double-helical elements and three loops (D, anti-codon, and T loops). The record is from Rfam by way of RNAcentral. Lineage: Eukaryota; Metazoa; Chordata; Mammalia; Artiodactyla; Camelidae. RNAcentral also lists the same sequence under 2 other names.